RNAcentral lists this ribosomal RNA (873 nucleotides) under Alternaria maritima. Its description in RNAcentral is "LSU rRNA". It matches the Rfam family "Eukaryotic large subunit ribosomal RNA", at positions 38 to 930 of the family's 3401-position model. Lineage: Eukaryota; Fungi; Ascomycota; Dothideomycetes; Pleosporales; Pleosporaceae. The record is from RNAcentral.
GCAUAUCAAUAAGCGGAGGAAAAGAAACCAACAGGGAUUGCCCUAGUAACGGCGAGUGAAGCGGCAACAGCUCAAAUUUGAAAUCUGGCUCUUUUAGAGUCCGAGUUGUAAUUUGCAGAGGGCGCUUUGGCUUUGGCAGCGGUCCAAGUUCCUUGGAACAGGACGUCACAGAGGGUGAGAAUCCCGUACGUGGUCGCUGGCUAUUGCCGUGUAAAGCCCCUUCGACGAGUCGAGUUGUUUGGGAAUGCAGCUCUAAAUGGGAGGUACAUUUCUUCUAAAGCUAAAUAUUGGCCAGAGACCGAUAGCGCACAAGUAGAGUGAUCGAAAGAUGAAAAGCACUUUGGAAAGAGAGUCAAACAGCACGUGAAAUUGUUGAAAGGGAAGCGCUUGCAGCCAGACUUGCUUACAGUUGCUCAUCCGGGUUUUUACCCGGUGCACUCUUCUGUAGGCAGGCCAGCAUCAGUUUGGGCGGUAGGAUAAAGGUCUCUGUCACGUACCUCCUUUCGGGGAGGCCUUAUAGGGGAGACGACAUACUACCAGCCUGGACUGAGGUCCGCGCAUCUGCUAGGAUGCUGGCGUAAUGGCUGUAAGCGGCCCGUCUUGAAACACGGACCAAGGAGUCUAACAUCUAUGCGAGUGUUUGGGUGUCAAGCCCGAGCGCGUAAUGAAAGUGAACGGAGGUGGGAACCCGCAAGGGUGCACCAUCGACCGAUCCUGAUGUCUUCGGAAGGAUUUGAGUAAGAGCAUGGCUGUUGGGACCCGAAAGAUGGUGAACUAUGCUUGAAUAGGGUGAAGCCAGAGGAAACUCUGGUGGAGGCUCGCAGCGGUUCUGACGUGCAAAUCGAUMGUCAAAUUUGGGCAUAGGGCGAAAGU